RNAcentral lists this transfer RNA (60 nucleotides) under Alectorobius peruvianus. Its description in RNAcentral is "tRNA-Phe". Lineage: Eukaryota; Metazoa; Arthropoda; Arachnida; Ixodida; Argasidae. The record is from RNAcentral.
AUCCCUAUAGUUUAAAGGAAAACAUAAUAGUGAAAAUAUUAAAAUAUUUGAUUGGGGAUA